UACGUAGGGGGCAAGCGUUGUCCGGAUUUAUUGGGCGUAAAGAGCGUGUAGGCGGCCAUGCAGGUCCGUUGUGAAAACUCGAGGCUCAACCUCGAGACGUCGAUGGAAACCUCAUGGCUUGAGACCGGAAGAGGUAAGUGGAACUGCGAGUGUAGAGGUGAAAUUCGUAGAUAUUCGCAAGAACACCAGUGGCGAAGGCGGCUUACUGGUCCGGAUCUGACGCUGAGGCGCGAAAGCGUGGGGAGCAAACAGG
RNAcentral lists this ribosomal RNA (253 nucleotides) under uncultured bacterium. Its description in RNAcentral is "partial 16S ribosomal RNA". It matches the Rfam family "Bacterial small subunit ribosomal RNA", at positions 524 to 776 of the family's 1533-position model. The record is from RNAcentral.